UACGAAGGGGGCUAGCGUUGCUCGGAAUCACUGGGCUUAAAGGGCGCGUAGGCGGUCCAACAAGUCAGGGGUGAAAUCCUGCAGCUCAACUGCAGAAGUGCCUCUGAUACUGUCGGUCUUGAGGGGGAUAGGGGUGUGCGGAACUUCCAGUGGAGCGGUGAAAUGCGUUGGUAUUGGAAGGAACGCCGGUGGCGAAAGCGGCGCACUGGAUCUCUUCUGACGCUGAGGCGCGAAAGCUAGGGGAGCAAACGGG
Molecule: ribosomal RNA, 253 nt
Filed under: uncultured bacterium
Lineage: Bacteria
Description: partial 16S ribosomal RNA
Rfam family: Bacterial small subunit ribosomal RNA
Source: RNAcentral